GACGAACGCUGGCGGCGUGCCUAACACAUGCAAGUCGAACGGGGUAAUGACUUCGGUUAUUACUUAGUGGCGAACGGUGAGUAACGCGUGAGAAACCUGCCUUUCAGUGGGGGACAACAGUUGGAAACGACUGCUAAUACCGCAUAAUGUAUCGAUGGGGCAUCCUGUUGAUACCAAAGAUUUAUUGCUGAAAGAUGGUCUCGCGUCUGAUUAGCUAGUUGGUGAGGUAACGGCUCACCAAGGCGACGAUCAGUAGCCGGUCUGAGAGGAUGAACGGCCACAUUGGGACUGAGAUACGGCCCAGACUCCUACGGGAGGCAGCAGUGGGGAAUAUUGGGCAAUGGGCGAAAGCCUGACCCAGCAACGCCGCGUGAAGGAAGAAGGCCUUCGGGUUGUAAACUUCUUUACCAGGGACGAAGAACGUGACGGUACCUGGAGAAAAAGCAACGGCUAACUACGUG
This 461-nucleotide ribosomal RNA is filed under the name uncultured bacterium. RNAcentral describes it as "bacterial SSU rRNA". It matches the Rfam family "Bacterial small subunit ribosomal RNA", at positions 28 to 507 of the family's 1533-position model. The record is from RNAcentral.